GAUGGACGCUGGCGGCGUGCCUAAUACAUGCAAGUCGAGCGAACAGAUAAGGAGCUUGCUCCUUUGACGUUAACGGCGGACGGGUGAGUAACACGUGGGUAACCUACCUAUAAGACUGGGAUAACUUCGGGAAACCGGAGCUAAUACCGGAUAACAUUUGGAACCGCAUGGUUCUAAAGUGAAAGAUGGUUUUGCUAUCACUUAUAGAUGGACCCGCGCCGUAUUAGCUAGUUGGUAAGGUAACGGCUUACCAAGGCGACGAUACGUAGCCGACCUGGGAGGGUGAUCGGCCACACUGGAACUGAGACCCGGUCCGGACUCCUACGGGAGGCAGCAGUAGGGAAUCUUCCGCAAUGGGCGAAAGCCUGCCGGAGCAACGCCGCGUGAGUGAUGAAGGGUUUCGGCUCGUAAAACUCUGCUAUUAGGGAAGAACAAAUGUGUAAGUAACUGUGCACGUCUUGACGGUACCUAAUCAGAAAGCCACGGCUAACUACGUG
This 497-nucleotide ribosomal RNA is filed under the name uncultured bacterium. RNAcentral describes it as "partial 16S ribosomal RNA". It matches the Rfam family "Bacterial small subunit ribosomal RNA", at positions 28 to 507 of the family's 1533-position model. The record is from RNAcentral.